UGGGGAAUAUUGGACAAUGGGGGCAACCCUGAUCCAGCAAUGCCGCGUGUGUGAAGAAGGUCUUCGGAUUGUAAAGCACUUUCGACGGGGACGAUGAUGACGGUACCCGUAGAAGAAGCCCCGGCUAACUUCGUGCCAGCAGCCGCGGUAAUACGAAGGGGGCUAGCGUUGCUCGGAAUGACUGGGCGUAAAGGGCGUGUAGGCGGUUUACACAGUCAGAUGUGAAAUCCCCGGGCUUAACCUGGGAGCUGCAUUUGAUAUGUGUAGACUAGAGUAUGAGAGAGGGUUGUGGAAUUCCCCAGUGUAGAGGUGAA
This 314-nucleotide ribosomal RNA is filed under the name uncultured bacterium. RNAcentral describes it as "partial 16S ribosomal RNA". It matches the Rfam family "Bacterial small subunit ribosomal RNA", at positions 355 to 685 of the family's 1533-position model. The record is from RNAcentral.